GACGAACCGUGCGAACGUUGUUCGGAUUCACUGGGCUUAAAGGGCGCGUAGGCGGGCGGUCAAGUCGGGGGUGAAAUCUUUCAGCUUAACUGGAAAAGUGCCUCCGAUACUGAUCGCCUCGAGGGAGGUAGGGGCAUGUGGAACUUCCGGUGGAGCGGUGAAAUGCGUAGAUAUCGGAAGGAACGCCGGUGGCGAAAGCGACGUGCUGGACCUCUUCUGACGCUGGAGGCGCGAAAGCUAGGGGAGCAAACGGG
RNAcentral lists this ribosomal RNA (254 nucleotides) under uncultured bacterium. RNAcentral's name for it is "partial 16S ribosomal RNA". It matches the Rfam family "Bacterial small subunit ribosomal RNA", at positions 524 to 776 of the family's 1533-position model. The record is from RNAcentral.